This 253-nucleotide ribosomal RNA is filed under the name uncultured bacterium. RNAcentral describes it as "partial 16S ribosomal RNA". It matches the Rfam family "Bacterial small subunit ribosomal RNA", at positions 524 to 776 of the family's 1533-position model. The record is from RNAcentral.
UACAGAGGUCUCAAGCGUUGUUCGGAUUCAUUGGGCGUAAAGGGUGCGUAGGCGGCGCGGUAAGUCGGGUGUGAAAUCUCGGGGCUUAACUCCGAAACUGCAUUCGAUACUGCCGUGCUUGAGGACUGGAGAGGAGACUGGAAUUUACGGUGUAGCGGUGAAAUGCGUAGAUAUCGUAAGGAAGACCAGUGGCGAAGGCGGCGUACUGGGUCUUUUCUGACGCUGAGGCACGAAAGCCAGGGUAGCGAACGGG